GGGGAUAUAGCUCAGUUGGUAGAGCGCUUGCAUGGCAUGCAAGAGGUCAGCGGUUCGAUCCCGCUUAUCUCCACCA
RNAcentral lists this transfer RNA (76 nucleotides) under Francisella sp. RNAcentral describes it as "tRNA-Ala". It matches the Rfam family "tRNA". From Rfam's summary of the family: Transfer RNA (tRNA) molecules are approximately 80 nucleotides in length. Their secondary structure includes four short double-helical elements and three loops (D, anti-codon, and T loops). The record is from RNAcentral. Lineage: Bacteria; Pseudomonadati; Pseudomonadota; Gammaproteobacteria; Thiotrichales; Francisellaceae. RNAcentral also lists the same sequence under 1 other name.